Molecule: ribosomal RNA, 253 nt
Filed under: uncultured bacterium
Lineage: Bacteria
Description: partial 16S ribosomal RNA
Rfam family: Bacterial small subunit ribosomal RNA
Source: RNAcentral
UACGUAGGGGGCUAGCGUUGUCCGGAUUUAUUGGGCGUAAAGAGCGCGUAGGCGGCCGAGUAAGUCCGACGUGAAAUCUGGAGGCUCAACCUCCAGCGGUCGUUGGAAACUACUCGGCUAGAGUCCGGAAGAGGAGAGUGGAAUUCCUGGUGUAGCGGUGAAAUGCGCAGAUAUCAGGAAGAACACCGAUGGCGAAAGCGGCUCUCUGGGACGGUACUGACGCUGAGGCGCGAAAGCGUGGGGAGCGAACAGG